This is a long non-coding RNA of Mytilus californianus (California mussel), 781 nucleotides long. RefSeq lists it as uncharacterized. The transcript has 3 exons. The record is from RefSeq and is a predicted model, not a curated record. NCBI's taxonomy places the organism in Eukaryota, Metazoa, Mollusca, Bivalvia, Mytilida, Mytilidae.
GUUGAAAUCUAAGAGAGCUUCGUACAAAGGUAUACAUGUGUAUAAUACUGUUAUCAAACAUGAUAAUUAGGUUCAAAGUUCACAAAGUACGGACGAUAAUGUUUAGUAAACACGAGGGAAUGACUUAAAAUGAUAUCAAUUAUUUUAAAAAGGACUAUGAAAUAUGCCAAAAAGUCAUAAACGUUCGCCAAUUAUAACACGGAAAACUCUAUAUUGGAUUCUUAGUGUAACUAUUGUGUGUUAUUUAUUUCAUCUAUCUGUUGAUGUCCAGAAUUUGUCCAGAUUUGUUGAAGCGGAUCCCAAUGAUGUUUUCUACCUUCUAAAAGAUCCAGUCAAUCUUCUCAUUCUGCACCCUAAAGUAGUUGAAAUACAAAUAAUAGACAGACAUUCCCAGAUGACUCUGGACUUUGCCGAGUUUUACAUGACAGAACAGUUAUCCUACGGAAAUUCGACAACACUAGUUAAUAUGGUGGCAAAUCCCGUGGACAGAUCAGUGUCACUCAAAGUCAAUACAUUCCUGAAUCUAUUACACAUUUCUUUGGAUUGGAAACUCCACAGCAAAAACAAAGGUACAAAGACAUACACUCAUAUAGAGGAAGAAAUUCGUGUCAAAUGUCCUAUGUUAUUCAAAUACGUCAUUGGAGAUCUGCUGUAUGAGUAUAAUCAGAUUCUCAUGGACAGGAUUCAAUUAAGAUACUCAUCUGAACCUAGUAUUGCUCUCAUGUGAUCUACCAUAAUCUGUGAUAUUUUAUUAAUUUUGUAAUAAAUGAAACAAAUAAAA